RNAcentral lists this transfer RNA (72 nucleotides) under Drypetes similis. Its description in RNAcentral is "Sibangea similis tRNA-Arg". It matches the Rfam family "tRNA". Rfam says of the family: Transfer RNA (tRNA) molecules are approximately 80 nucleotides in length. Their secondary structure includes four short double-helical elements and three loops (D, anti-codon, and T loops). Further hydrogen bonds mediate the characteristic L-shaped molecular structure. tRNAs have two regions of fundamental functional importance: the anti-codon, which is responsible for specific mRNA codon recognition, and the 3' end, to which the tRNAs corresponding amino acid is attached (by aminoacyl-tRNA synthetases). tRNAs cope with the degeneracy of the genetic code in two manners: having more than one tRNA (with a specific anti-codon) for a particular amino acid; and 'wobble' base-pairing, i.e. permitting non-standard base-pairing at the 3rd anti-codon position. The record is from RNAcentral. RNAcentral also lists the same sequence under 4 other names. Lineage: Eukaryota; Viridiplantae; Streptophyta; Magnoliopsida; Malpighiales; Putranjivaceae.
GCGUCCAUCGUCUAAUGGAUAGGACAGGGGUCUUCUAAGCCCAUAGUAUGGGUUCAAAUCCUAUUGGACGCA